AGUGAACGCUGGCGGUAGGCCUAACACAUGCAAGUCGAACGGCAGCACAGUAAGAGUUUGCUCUUACGGGUGGCGAGUGGCGGACGGGUGAGGAAUACAUCGGAAUCUACUUUUUCGUGGGGGAUAACGUAGGGAAACUUACGCUAAUACCGCAUACGACCUACGGGUUAAAGCAGGGGAUCUUCGGACCUUGCGCGACUGAAUGAGCCGAUGUCGGAUUAGCUAGUUGGCGGGGUAAAGGCCCACCAAGGCGACGAUCCGUAGCUGGUCUGAGAGGAUGAUCAGCCACACUGGAACUGAGACACGGUCCAGACUCCUACGGGAGGCAGCAGUGGGGAAUAUUGGACAAUGGGCGCAAGCCUGAUCCAGCCAUACCGCGUGGGUGAAGAAGGCCUUCGGGUUGUAAAGCCCUUUUGUUGGGAAAGAAGAGCAGCAGGUUAAUACCCGGCUGUUCUGACGGUACCCAAAGAAUAAGCACCGGCUAACUUCGUG
RNAcentral lists this ribosomal RNA (492 nucleotides) under uncultured bacterium. RNAcentral's name for it is "partial 16S ribosomal RNA". It matches the Rfam family "Bacterial small subunit ribosomal RNA", at positions 29 to 507 of the family's 1533-position model. The record is from RNAcentral.